UAUUUUGCAUUACCCUAGUUUGCGGUCGGGGAAUGAAAAAGUCUGCAUGGGUGGAUGUGGAAUAGGCGCACGGGAGAGUCAUUAGGCGUUGUCGGAGGCUUUUGUGUAUGCACACGCCGACGGUGCAGAGACGGGGCACACACAAUGUUAAACUAUCGAUUCGACCUACUUUUCGAAAAUAAUACGUAGUACCCGACUUUUCACUUGUGCGGAUCCUACUGCGCCAUUACACACUCUGGUUAACUAAUUCACGAUGAUAACACCUUUUACAAACAAUCCGAAUGUUAAUACCAGUGUAAUUGUAAUUAGAAGCACGCAUCAAAUCACACUUCACGAGAUUAUGGUAUCGUCGAGAGUAUACUCGGGAACUGCAUGUUGGAAAACGUUCCAACACAGAGAAACAACCAGAGUCAGCGCGAAGAACCCGAUGCAGCCAGCGAUAGAACAGCAAACGUGCAAAAAUAAAGGAAGAAGAACUGCAUGACUGGGGAGAGCAACAGAAGGCGAUAGAAACGAAAACGCAUAGAAUAUGUGCACACACACAAGAGCACAGAGUAACCGCCGAAGACGAAAGAUUCUAGGACCAAAUAGCAAUAGCUGUGCGAUGAGAAGUCGAAAGCUUAGUCUGUCGAUGUCGAAGAUCUCCGAGAAGAGGAGUCUACUACCAGUGUACUUGGGGCAUACAACAUGAAUGUGAAAAUGAAUUUAACAAAUU
Molecule: long non-coding RNA, 715 nt
Organism: Dalotia coriaria
Lineage: Eukaryota; Metazoa; Arthropoda; Insecta; Coleoptera; Staphylinidae
Exons: 3
Source: RefSeq, a predicted model, not a curated record